This 300-nucleotide small nuclear RNA is filed under the name Oryctolagus cuniculus (rabbit). RNAcentral describes it as "7SK RNA". It matches the Rfam family "7SK RNA", at positions 1 to 281 of the family's 331-position model. Rfam says of the family: 7SK was discovered as an abundant small nuclear RNA in the mid-70s but a possible function has only recently been suggested. Two independent studies have found that 7SK RNA binds the CDK9/cyclin T complex (known as elongation factor P-TEFb). P-TEFb activates transcription by phosphorylating the C-terminal domain of RNA polymerase II. Lineage: Eukaryota; Metazoa; Chordata; Mammalia; Lagomorpha; Leporidae. The record is from Rfam by way of RNAcentral.
GGAUGUGAGGGCGAUCUGGCUGCGACAUCUGUCACCCCAUUGAUCGCCAGGGUUGAUUCGGCUGAUCUGGCUGGCUAGGCGGGUGUCCCCUUCCUCCCUCACCGCUCCAUGUGCGUCCCUCCCGAAGCUGCGCGCUCGGUCGAAGAGGACGACCAUCCCCGCUAGAGGAGGACCGGUCUUCGGUCAAGGGUAUACGAGUAGCUGCGCUCCCCUGCUAGAACCUCCAAACAAGCUCUCAAAUAAAUAAAUUUCUAUGAAACAAAAAGAAAUGAAGGGCAGCAGGGUGGGCAGGGCCCUUGU